Dipodomys ordii (Ord's kangaroo rat) is the source of this 71-nucleotide non-coding RNA. The record is from Rfam. Lineage: Eukaryota; Metazoa; Chordata; Mammalia; Rodentia; Heteromyidae.
GGGAAAGUGGCUCAGUGGUAAGAGUGUUUGCCUUGCAUGCAUAAGGCCCUGGGUUCGAUUCCGCAGCACCA